ACACGACUACAUUAGAUACCCCGGUAGUCCUAGCCGUAAACGAUACUCGCUAGGUGUCGGCCACGGUGCGACCGUUUGUCGGUGCCGUAGGGAAGCCGUGAAGCGAGCCACCUGGGAAGUACGGCCGCAAGGCUGAAACUUAAAGGAAUUGGCGGGGGAGCACAACAACGGGUGGAGCUUGCGGUUUAAUUGGAUUCAACGCCGGAAAUCUUACCGGGACCGACAGCAACAUGAAGGCCAAGCUGAAGACUUUGCCGGAUUAGCUG
This 266-nucleotide ribosomal RNA is filed under the name uncultured archaeon. Its description in RNAcentral is "partial 16S ribosomal RNA". It matches the Rfam family "Archaeal small subunit ribosomal RNA", at positions 717 to 982 of the family's 1478-position model. The record is from RNAcentral.